GAUGAAGAACGCAGCGAAAUGCGAUAAGUAACGUGAAUUGCAGAAUUCAGUGAAUCAUCGAAUCUUUGAACGCACAUUGCGCCCGCCAGUAUUCUGGCGGGCAUGCCUGUUCGAGCGUCAUUUCAACCAUCAAGCCCCCGGCUUGUGUUGGGGACCUGCGGCUGCCGCAGGCCCUGAAAACCAGUGGCGGGCUCGCUAGUCACUCCGAGCGUAGUAAUACAUCUCGCUCAGGGCGUGCUGCGGGUUCCGGCCGUUAAAAAGCCUUAUUUACCCAAGGUUGACCUCGGAUCAGGUAGGAAGACCCGCUGAACUUAAGCAUAUCAAUAAGCGGAGGA
Molecule: unclassified non-coding RNA, 335 nt
Filed under: soil metagenome
Description: partial contains 5.8S ribosomal RNA, internal transcribed spacer 2, and large subunit ribosomal RNA
Rfam family: 5.8S ribosomal RNA (bases 1-120)
Source: RNAcentral